RNAcentral lists this long non-coding RNA (4513 nucleotides) under Cotesia glomerata. RNAcentral's name for it is "uncharacterized LOC123274586, transcript variant X1". Lineage: Eukaryota; Metazoa; Arthropoda; Insecta; Hymenoptera; Braconidae. The record is from RNAcentral.
UAUUAAAAAAUGUUCAGGUGUCUUGAUUUCAGAAUCAUUAUUACAUGCAAUUUCGCGUUUAGAUGUAAUUUAAAAUCAAGAUAUUAAAAUAUCCAGCUAAGCGGUUAGAUCUUAACCAUCUCAAGACUUAAUUUUAAUAAAAGAUCUUGGAGAUUUGAAACCAGACCUUUUAUUUGAAAAAAUAUUUCUACCUACGGUAUGGAAUGGUCAAUGCCGGUGGCAUGCGGGAUAAAUAAAUGGCACGAUUCAAUUUCUAUGCUGGGAAGAACCUCAGGCUCGUACUCUCAACGAAUUGACUAAAUGUAGAGUUUAUAUACCACAUACCAUAUAUAAUAAUACUUGUAUCAGAGAAGAUAAUAGAGGGUGGGAAGAGGAAUCCCCGACACCUGUUACACGUCUAUAUCUACGCUGAAGGGUCAUAUCGGCUUGUACUACGCCAGCAAAGAUGCCUCGUUAUCUAAACGAAAAAUCACCGUCUCUCUCUUUCUCCUUUUCUUUCUUAUUCUGGUUUUAGCGGUUCAACAAUGUUACGAUCUUGUUAUAUGUGUGCUACAGCAUGUUCCGAUAGACAGAUGAACAUAAAGAUACAAACCCGAUAUAAAUAUUUUAUUUUAUUUUAUUUUAUUUUAUCAAUUUCGUCAUUGUCUUUUGUAUUUGUAAUUUGUAAAUGCGGUAUGCUGUUAUUUUAUAUCAUAUAUAAAUAUAUACAUAUAUGGUUUAUGGAUUUAAUAUAGAUGCGACUCGAGGUCCCCUAUCAUCGUAAUGAUACUGGCGUGUCCAGCGACGGGUACAAAAUAAUGAAAAAAAUACGUACAUAAUAAUAACGAAAGGAAAAGGAUAAAAUAACGAGGAAAAAAAAGAUCCAUUUCAUGUUAUAAAAUAAAACUCGACAAUUUGAAAUAAUAGUGUAACGAUAAUGACUUCGAGGAAAGUUAUUUUCCAACUCUAUAAAUCGUGUCCGCAAAUAUGUAUUAUGCAUGUUUUUAGUUUAUUAUAUACAUUUAUACACAUAUACAUGCAUAAUAUUUAACAAUUAAGAGCUGUGAGUGUGAGAAUAUUUAAAAAAAAAUUGAUGGUUUAAAAUGAAAUUACGAGCUUGUAAAAAAACAUAAGAUUAAUAAUUAGAUAUAACAUUGUUUGUGUGAUGUAAUGACGGAUUUUAAAAAGAAAAUAAUUAACGAAAUAAAAUUGUUAGUAGCAGGUAUUUAAAUAAAUCAUCAAAACUUUAAAUGAUCUUAUAUCGCAUGAUUAGACACAUGAAACUAAACAAGUAGUUAGGAAGAAGGCUCGUUAAAGAACGUGAGUCACUUACAUGUGAUGUAACAUGUGUUGGAGAAAACCGCGCACAAGAUCUCUAACAAGUUUAAAGACAUCUAAAUCUAUUAUAUAUAUAUAUAUAUGAUAGUAAACUACUCGAAGAGUUUUUUUAUUUUAUAUUAUUGUGUUUCAAGUCAUCCGUACAGGGUUUAUUAUACACAUAUAUGUAACAAUAAUACAAACACAAAUAGACUACAAGAAAAAUGAUGCGACAAAGGAAGAGUUGUGUUUGUUUUAUUUAAGAUAUGUCGAUUGUGUCCAAAAGAGUUUGUAAUGUUGAGUAAAGAACGAGGUUUUUCGACCUGUAGACCGGUUCGAAUACCGAAGUUUUUGUUUCCUGACGAAUUCUCGGGUCUCCUCAACAUCUUUUUUUCGAAGAUUUUAUGUACGUAAAUUCGCAUUUUAAACUAAUUUAUAACUAAAUAAUAUACUGAUGAAUAAAAGGAUAAAAACCCGGGCAACAAUUGAGUCAUAAAUUAUUUUGUUAUAAAAGAGCGAUACGAUGUAAAUGAUGGAUCUUAAAUCCUAUCCGUUAGCGUGUGUGGUUAAAAAAAGUUUAAAAAAUAAAAGGAAAAAAAAAACUAAUACCGGAAUACGUGUUUCCGCUGGACAAUUUGCUACGUACGUUUACAUGUUAAUGCUCUGACUCUGACUCUGGCUCAACCCUUUCUUUUUCAGUGAUAUGUGAGUAUGUGUGUAAAAGCGUCGUGUCGCAUGUGCAAACCCUCGAUCACAGUCUGUAGUCAUUGUUUUAUUGCGAAAAACAACGUCUAGUCUUAUAGUUUAACGUGUUACAUACUAAUAUCUACAUAUGCAUAUUACAUAUACAUGAGCUAAGCGCUAAAGUUUGCAGUAAUGUAAAAUUAACAAUAGGACGAUGACAAUGCAAUCGAUAUUGACAAUUUUAAUAUGCAAGCAAUCGUUUAUAUUUGUCGUUCUCUAUCAGUUUUAUAGCUAUUUAUAUUUGUAUUGUUCAGUUGUAUAUAAUGGUGAAGAAGAAAAGAAUGAGAAGGUGAUGAUGUUGAUGACAGUGGUGUUGGUGGCGGAUACUUAUUAGGAAAUCCAACAAUCGCAUUUUUGCCGGAUCGAACGUCGAUGUUCGAUUCGCGGAACUCUUAAGGGCAAGGUGCGCAUGCGUUGUCGCCUCACCACCACCACCUCCUCCUCCUCCUCCUCUUUCACUUAUUGUGAAUUCUCGUGCCCUUUAUGUGACUCUGAUGUGUGAGUACGUAGUUGCAGUUAGCAAGCAGACUUAUUUAUGUUUUCUUGAUCGCAUUACCGGCGUUCUAUUCUGUAAAACCAACUAUUGUCAUUUUGUUUCAGGUGACAUACUGUCGGUACUUGUGGGAUUUUAAAUUAUUUUUUUUUAGUCACGUUAAACCUCUUGACCUCUUAAUCUUGCUUCAAUGAUUUUGGUCGGUAGUUGUAGGUCUAAUCUAGAGAUGAGUUGUUUAGUCUAGACCUAAGCGUCCAGUUUAGUUCCAGGUUUAAAUCCAGAUCCAGACAGAGUUCGCCCACUGAACUGCGCUUGGAGAUCCAAUUCAAACGGUAAUCGCGGAGUCAAGUCCAGGGCAAUUCGUAAAAAAUUGAUAAAUAAAAACCGAGAAAAUAAGAGUCCGCAAAAAAUCAGUUAACGGAGAAGAUUAUUCCCGUUAACAUUUAAGUUGUUAUUUUGUUUAUUUAUGUGUUUAGUUUUUUUUUUUUUUUUUCUUUCGAGUGUUACACUUAUUGUCAUUUAUGUAGUGAAUAGUUAGACGGUAGUUUUAGUUGUGUUUUUAUUGAUUUGUUAAUUUUUUUUUCUAAGCGUAUGUGAUUAUGUCAACUUUUGCGAAAUGAUGUUCUAUACUGAUGUCGAUAAAUGUAAUGUAAUGAGAAAAUGGCGCGAGCAUGCACGCAACAAGAUUUCCUAGAAGUCUGUAAUAAGGCCUGUUGUGAGUGCGAGAAAGUAUGAAAUACCUGAACGUCGCUAACAAGUAAAAAAUAUAGAUUAAAAGAGUAGACGGAAAUGCCGAGCUAAAGAGUUCUAUAGUAGCAGUAUAAUAGUAGUUCAUCCUUCACGUAUCACGGUCCUUUAUUUUUUAUCGUAAAUCGUCGAAUGGACCAGACGCAAAUUAGCAAGGCCGAUAAUAUCAGGAAGAACUUGUUCACAAAGAAAUCAAAUCGAUGGUCCUCGAGCUGCCUUUAUAUGUCCAGAUACAGAUAUAUACUACUAUACUUACUACCUAUAUAUAAAUGAAAGGAUUUAUAUUGCUAUCGAGAGUAUAAGAGCUGAGUACAAGAGUAGUCAAGAGGCGGAUGAUAUUGAAGGAAGUCAAAGGAGAGUUGAGUUAGUCUUCCAAGUAAUCCGCGAGGAAGAGCAGAGCUCUGUGACUUCUCACGCAGGGACCAAUUAUCCCUUUCCAGAAGACAAUUAUCGUAGCUUUUGAACUGGCAACGUGCGCAAUUGCACUCGACCUCGACGUAACUUAUUUUCUGGUGAACGGGGCUCACCUCUUCCACGAAUCGCCGAAAAUAAUUGAUGAGUGAGGCCAUACGUUCUUCUUAUAUGUAUAUAUAUAUAUAUAUAUAUAAACCCUAUAUAUGUACUUCAUACGUUCCAUUUGAAACAAGCAAAGCGUAGAGGGCAAUCUUCCACUUUUCUCUUCGUAGAAUCGUUUUAGAAAUAAGGAAAAAAACUUAUUAAACUUACUUUAGCAUUAUAAAUACAGAAGAUCAGCCGAGUAGAGAAGAGUAGAAUAAGAAAAGAGUAAAGUACACAUAUAAUACAGGAGGGCGAACACACGCACGCAACAAAGUGCAUCUCGAUACAGUCAAUUGGCCGGAAAUACAACUGACGACUUAAUGACGUGAGAAUACUGUAUAGUAUAGACGAUACGAACAAAUGAAAUUAGCCUUUAGUCUGUAGGUAUAGCAAAAAAAAAAAGAACGAAAGAAAAAAAAAUUAUUAGCCACCCGAUUAUUUUUUACCUGGUAAAAACACCAACAUUUUUAUAUAAAUAUGUAUUUGAAAUUGUAUGUAUGGAGAUGAUAAGUGUGCAUGUCGAUGUCUAUAUCGUACAUUUAUGUGCUAUAAGCGUAAGACUUGAGAACAUGUGCGCUGUUCUCGGGUUCUCGGAAAGCUCUAGAUAUAUGUAAUUUGUGACGAUAAAGAGGUCGAUCGACAGUCAGUGUAGUAAAGUCUUGAUACAACGUUUUU